RNAcentral lists this non-coding RNA (92 nucleotides) under unclassified sequences. The record is from RNAcentral.
AUAUAACUGCCACCGGGUAGUAUGAUGCGAAUAAAGCAUCCGUUUACACAUCGUUAGGUCAUUGAAGAUGUGUAAACGGAUGUUUAUUUUUU